This 468-nucleotide ribosomal RNA is filed under the name uncultured bacterium. Its description in RNAcentral is "partial 16S ribosomal RNA". It matches the Rfam family "Bacterial small subunit ribosomal RNA", at positions 28 to 507 of the family's 1533-position model. The record is from RNAcentral.
GACGAACGCUGGCGGCGUGCUUAACACAUGCAAGUCGAACGGAAAGGCCCUGCUUUUGGGGGGUGCUCGAGUGGCGAACGGGUGAGUAACACGUGAGUAACCUGCCCUUGACUUUGGGAUAACUUCAGGAAACUGGGGCUAAUACCGGAUAGGAGCUCCUGCUGCAUGGGGGGGGUUGGAAAGUUUCGGCGGUUGGGGAUGGACUCGCGGCUUAUCAGCUUGUUGGUUGGGUAGUGGCUUGCCAAGGCUUUGACGGGUAGCCGGCCUGAGAGGGUGAGCGGCCACAUUGGGACUGAGUUACGGCCCAGACUCCUACGGGAGGCAGCGGUGGGGAAGAGUGCACAAGGGGCGGAAGCCUGAUGCAGCAACGCCGCGUGCGGGAGGACGGCCUUCGGGUUGUAAACCGCUUUCGCCUGUGACGAAGCGUGAGUGACGGUAAUGGGUAAAGAAGCACCGGCUAACUACGUG